Molecule: long non-coding RNA, 424 nt
Filed under: Ailuropoda melanoleuca (giant panda)
Lineage: Eukaryota; Metazoa; Chordata; Mammalia; Carnivora; Ursidae
Description: lncRNA (ENSAMEG00000023504.1)
Source: RNAcentral
UUAGGAAACUUGGAGCCAAGAAUGAUGAAGAGGAUACUUGCCAGGAACAACGUGGCCAUAAACGGUUUCCCACUUCAGAAUCCUACACGGUACUUUCAGCGAAAUAUCAGGUGCUUUAGAUGUGGCCCAAUCCACCACUUACUCCCUUCUUCCAGAAAGUCCCAGAGAAGCUCCUGGACCCCCAGAUUCCAAGUGUAAGCAAGGUGUCCUCCCCGGACACCACGAACCCAGGUGGAGUCCCUACGAGCUGAAAACAAACAGCAAAAAUCAAUAAAGCAAUGGGCAUUUAAAGAACACCACCACCUGUGUCUACACAACUGGCUAUGCCUUUAGCUUUAGAAUAGCUCUUUAUUUGCUGAGCCUACACCGUAAAGGAGAAGAUGAUGAAUAUCUAAGUCAGUAUUGCUAAAAAUUGAGAAAUGGG